CUAGUGGAAUAUAAUGAGAAGCACGAGGCAGUACUGGAGGCAAUGGUGGAGGAGAGUGUGGAGGGCAUUCUGGGGCCAGAAGAGGAGGCUGGAUACCUAGCUCUCCCUUCGAGCCAAAUGUCACAGACAGCAGAAAAUGCCAUGGCUGUGGCCAUGAUGGUUAACACCAUGGUGGGUGGCAUAUCUGUGCCGGCCCGGGACCCACAUACCAGUACUAGUGCAGCCAGCAGUGCCGGACCACCAAUAGACCAGCCUGUUCUAGUAGGGGAUAGCACGGCCAAAGACACCAAAAAGCCAAUCAGCUGUUAUGAAGAGAGACUUUUGGAGAUAGAGGAGGAAAAGUUAUUAGUCAUGAAGCGUGCGCUUCACGUUUUCGAAUUAUUUGUCUUUAAUCAAAAA
RNAcentral lists this long non-coding RNA (399 nucleotides) under Strongylocentrotus purpuratus (purple sea urchin). RNAcentral describes it as "uncharacterized LOC115927547". The record is from RNAcentral. Lineage: Eukaryota; Metazoa; Echinodermata; Echinoidea; Camarodonta; Strongylocentrotidae.